Molecule: ribosomal RNA, 1228 nt
Filed under: uncultured bacterium
Lineage: Bacteria
Description: partial 16S ribosomal RNA
Rfam family: Bacterial small subunit ribosomal RNA
Source: RNAcentral
AAUGCUUACCAUCAGGCAAGUGAGAUUGGAUUUACGGUCGAGGUAUGAAGGAUGGAGGACGCCUGAGAUACGCGUAAGGAACUUUGCCUCUGCAUCUAAUACAGUAUAUGAAAAGAUAUUGCAUACCGGAUAUUAUGAAAUUCUCUCAUGCGAGAGAGAGCAAGCUAUACAUUCAAGAGAGAGCCGGCAGUACCACUACAUAGUUGGUGAGGUAAGCCGCCACCAAGGGGACAAUGGAUAGCACGGCGAGAGAGACAGAACCCUCACUCGGGGAGUAGACCGCAGCCCUUACAUCUUACACGAGGCAGCAGUGCGGAAUACAGCCCAAUGGGCCACAAGCAUAAUCCAUCAAUUUUGUAAACCAGAUUCAGGUAUUAGGAUAGUAAAGUACUUUCAGUUGGCAAGAAGAAAGUUACGUUACCAACAGAACACGGGAUGGCUAAAUACCUGCCACCAGCCUCAGUAAUAGGGAUCUAGCAAGAAUUAUCAGGAUUUGGUGGGAAGAAAGCGCGUCUAGGUGGAAAAAUAAGUUGGAAAAUAACAGGCGUGGCUCAUAUCAAGUACAGUGUAAGCAAUCCUUUUUACUAGUAGUACAGGAGAGGGGAGAAUUACAGCAAGAGUAGGAGAUGAAAUGUAGUAGAUCAGUAGGAAGAAUCCGCGAUGAAGAAGUCCCCUCACGCAACAGAUAAUCGACUCUAAAGCGAGAGAGGGGGAGCCCACAAAGGAUAUACUACCCUAGUAGUACACCCCAUAAGCUCCCAAAGGGAGGUGUGGGGGGUCGAACCUCAGCGCCCAAGCUAACGCGAUAAGUGAUCCGCCUGGGGAGUACGCACGCAAGUGUGAAACUCAAAGGAAUUGACGGGGACCCGCACAAGCGGUGGAGCAUGUGGUUUAAUUCGACGCAACGCGAGAAACCUUACCAGCGUUUGACAUCCUAAGAAGUUUCCAGAGAUGGAUUCGUGCCGGCUUGCCGGAACUUAGUGACAGGUGGUGCAUGGCUGUCGUCAGCUCGUGUCGUGAGAUGUUGGGUUAAGUCCCGCAACGAGCGCAACCCCUAUUGUAUGUUGCUACCAUUAAGUUGAGCACUCAUGCGAUACUGCCUGCGAUGAGCAGGAGGAAGGGGGGGAGGACGUCAAGUCAUCAUGCCCGUUAUAGGUUGGGCUACACGCGUGGUUCAAUGUGCUGUACAGAGAGGUGCCAACCCGCGCGGGUGAGCUAAUGUAUUAAA